GUUGGGGGCAAUACCACCCAGAUCCUGGUAGCUAAGCAGGGUCGGUCCUGGCCAGUACUUGGAUGGAAAACAGCCUGAGAAUACUGGGUGCUGUAGGUU
Ribosomal RNA from Cercocebus atys (sooty mangabey), 99 nucleotides. Lineage: Eukaryota; Metazoa; Chordata; Mammalia; Primates; Cercopithecidae. The record is from Ensembl.